Molecule: unclassified non-coding RNA, 34 nt
Filed under: Sorangium cellulosum So ce56
Lineage: Bacteria; Pseudomonadati; Myxococcota; Polyangiales; Polyangiaceae
Description: sce_REN-SRE_2
Source: RNAcentral
UAAGGCUGAACAGCCCGUGGUACGAACGGAAAAA